UUGAGUGAAACUCACGUAGGUCUCGUGCUUUGGAAAUGGAUCCCACAUAAAGUUGCGAGACCUGCAUGAGUUUCACUCAA
This 80-nucleotide microRNA precursor is filed under the name Medicago truncatula (barrel medic). RNAcentral's name for it is "MIR5269 microRNA precursor family". It matches the Rfam family "MIR5269 microRNA precursor family". The record is from Rfam by way of RNAcentral. Lineage: Eukaryota; Viridiplantae; Streptophyta; Magnoliopsida; Fabales; Fabaceae.